AGCGAACGCUGGCGGCAGGCCUAAUACAUGCAAGUCGAGCGCGCCCUUCGGGGUGAGCGGCGGACGGGUGAGUAACGCGUGGGAAUAUGCCCUUCUCUAAGGAAUAGCCUCUGGAAACGGAGAGUAAUACCUUAUACGCCCUUUGGGGGAAAGAUUUAUCGGAGAAGGAUUAGCCCGCGUUAGAUUAGGUAGUUGGUGGGGUAAUGGCCUACCAAGCCUACGAUCUAUAGCUGGUUUGAGAGGAUGAUCAGCCACACUGGGACUGAGACACGGCCCAGACUCCUACGGGAGGCAGCAGUAGGGAAUCUUAGACAAUGGGGGCAACCCUGAUCUAGCCAUGCCGCGUGUGUGAUGAAGGCCCUAGGGUCGUAAAGCACUUUCGCCAGAGAUGAUAAUGACAGUAUCUGGUAAAGAAACCCCGGCUAACUCCGUGCCAGCAGCCGCGGUAAUACGGAGGGGGUUAGCGUUGUUCGGAAUUACUGGGCGUAAAGCGCACGUAGGCGGAUUAGUAAGUUAGAGGUGAAAUCCCAGGGCUCAACCCUGGAACUGCCUUUAAUACUGCUAGUCUUGAGUUCGAGAGAGGUAAGUGGAAUUCCGAGUGUAGAGGUGAAAUUCAUA
This 618-nucleotide ribosomal RNA is filed under the name uncultured Alphaproteobacteria bacterium. RNAcentral describes it as "bacterial SSU rRNA". It matches the Rfam family "Bacterial small subunit ribosomal RNA", at positions 28 to 692 of the family's 1533-position model. Lineage: Bacteria; Pseudomonadati; Pseudomonadota; Alphaproteobacteria. The record is from RNAcentral.